GAUGAACGCUGGCGGCGUGCUUAACACAUGCAAGUCGAACGGAAAGGCUCCUGCUUGCAGGGGUACUCGAGUGGCGAACGGGUGAGUAACACGUGGGUGAUCUGCCCUGCACUUCGGGAUAAGCCUGGGAAACUGGGUCUAAUACCGGAUAGGACGAUGGUUUGGAUGCCAUUGUGGAAAGUUUUUCGGUGUGGGAUGAGCUCGCGGCCUAUCAGCUUGUUGGUGGGGUAAUGGCCUACCAAGGCGUCGACGGGUAGCCGGCCUGAGAGGGUGUACGGCCACAUUGGGACUGAGAUACGGCCCAGACUCCUACGGGAGGCAGCAGUGGGGAAGAUUGCACAAUGGGCGCAAGCCUGAUGCAGCGACGCCGCGUGGGGGAUGACGGCCUUCGGGUUGUAAACUCCUUUCGCUAGGGACGAAGCGCAAGUGACGGUACCUGGAGAAGAAGCACCGGCUAACUACGUG
Molecule: ribosomal RNA, 465 nt
Filed under: uncultured bacterium
Lineage: Bacteria
Description: partial 16S ribosomal RNA
Rfam family: Bacterial small subunit ribosomal RNA
Source: RNAcentral